This 106-nucleotide ribosomal RNA is filed under the name Pteropus alecto (black flying fox). Lineage: Eukaryota; Metazoa; Chordata; Mammalia; Chiroptera; Pteropodidae. The record is from RNAcentral.
GUCUAUGGCCAUGCUACCCUGAACAAGCCUGGUCCUGCCUGAUCUCAGAAGCUAAGCCGGGUCGGGCCUGGUUAGUACUUGGAUGGGAGACCAGGUGCUGUAGGCA